This 29-nucleotide non-coding RNA is filed under the name Mus musculus (house mouse). Lineage: Eukaryota; Metazoa; Chordata; Mammalia; Rodentia; Muridae. The record is from RNAcentral.
UGACCACAAUGGAAAUCUUUUAAGUAGCC